This 498-nucleotide ribosomal RNA is filed under the name uncultured bacterium. Its description in RNAcentral is "partial 16S ribosomal RNA". It matches the Rfam family "Bacterial small subunit ribosomal RNA", at positions 30 to 523 of the family's 1533-position model. The record is from RNAcentral.
AUUGAACGCUGGCGGCAUGCCUUACACAUGCAAGUCGAACGGAAACAGGCCUUCGGAUGCUGACGAGUGGCGAACGGGUGAGUAAUACAUCGGAACGUGCCUAGUAGUGGGGGAUAACUACUCGAAAGAGUGGCUAAUACCGCAUGAGAUCUACGGAUGAAAGCAGGGGAUGGCAAGCCCUUGUGCUACUAGAGCGGCCGAUGGCAGAUUAGGUAGUUGGUGGGAUAAAAGCUUACCAAGCCGACGAUCUGUAGCUGGUCUGAGAGGACGAUCAGCCACACUGGGACUGAGACACGGCCCAGACUCCUACGGGAGGCAGCAGUGGGGAAUUUUGGACAAUGGGCGAAAGCCUGAUCCAGCAAUGCCGCGUGCAGGAUGAAGGCCUUCGGGUUGUAAACUGCUUUUGUACGGAACGAAAAGCCCCGGGUUAAUACCCUGGGGUCAUGACGGUACCGUAAGAAUAAGCACCGGCUAACUACGUGCCAGCCGCCGCAGUAA